Molecule: ribosomal RNA, 213 nt
Filed under: Triticum aestivum (bread wheat)
Lineage: Eukaryota; Viridiplantae; Streptophyta; Magnoliopsida; Poales; Poaceae
Description: partial small subunit ribosomal RNA
Source: RNAcentral
AUGGAUUGGGGUCGCCAAGAGCAACGAGGUCAUCGCCGCCGACCUACGCGCCACGAGCCGGUGGGCGAGCCCGGCAUGCCGGCGCUGCACGCGUGCGCGUUCUACGCCAAGCGGCUGGCGCGCGACGGCGACGUCUUCAUGUACAGAGGGGACACACCCUUCUGCAUCAAGGGGUGCCGGCACGAGCAGAAAAACAAGUCAUCAAUCCCGUAA